UGGGGAAUAUUGCACAAUGGGCGCAAGCCUGAUGCAGCCAUGCCGCGUGUGUGAAGAAGGCCUUCGGGUUGUAAAGCACUUUCAGCGAGGAGGAAGGUGGGUGGACUUAAUACGUUCAUCAAUUGACGUUACUCGCAGAAGAAGCACCGGCUAACUCCGUGCCAGCAGCCGCGGUAAUACGGAGGGUGCAAGCGUUAAUCGGAGUUACUGGGCGUAAAGCGCACGCAGGCGGUUUGUUAAGUCAGAUGUGAAAUCCCCGGGCUCAACCUGGGAACUGCAUUUGAAACUGGCAAGCUAGAGUCUCGUAGAGGGGGGUAGAAUUCCAGGUNUAGCGGUGAAAUGCGUAGAGAUCUGGAGGAAUACCGGUGGCGAAGGCGGCCCCCCUGGA
RNAcentral lists this ribosomal RNA (388 nucleotides) under uncultured bacterium. Its description in RNAcentral is "partial 16S ribosomal RNA". It matches the Rfam family "Bacterial small subunit ribosomal RNA", at positions 355 to 734 of the family's 1533-position model. The record is from RNAcentral.